CGAAAGGUCGAAGGGAGAAAUUCAUUUCGCGUUUCGUAAUUGACGGCUGAUAGGAUUGUGUGACGAAAAUUGUUUCGGCAAUUUGCGCACCGCUUGUUUGUCGAUUCAGUUACGAACGUGUGCACUUUUCUCCUGGUAGGACGUCGCGAUCCGUUGGGUGUCGGUCUACGGUACGUGGUGGAGCCCAUUUGGCCAUUGGUCGAAUGGACCCACGUUAUUUCCUGACCGACUCGCUCGACGGUAUAAAAUUGUGGUUCGAGGCCGCUUCUUUGUAUAAGCGUCUGGCAUAUAGCAAGCGCGUUAGCUGGUUCGACAAUCGGACUUGGUGCCGAUUUCGAUCACUAAUGACUGUUGGCUAUAUUGUUCUUGGACACACCUCGUAA
RNAcentral lists this ribosomal RNA (383 nucleotides) under Carphoborus perrisi. RNAcentral's name for it is "partial large subunit ribosomal RNA". The record is from RNAcentral. Lineage: Eukaryota; Metazoa; Arthropoda; Insecta; Coleoptera; Curculionidae.